CCGCCGUGACCGGCCUCGUCACUUAGAAGGAGAAAGGGCAAAAGGGCUGAUCGGAACACUCUUUUAACACUUAACAAUUUGAGGCAGGAGCCUGUAAGCAGAGGCGAACUGCGAGAAUUCGCUGCUGUUUAAAGAGCAGGGCAAAGUUGCCAAGAAACUCACUACAACGUGGCUGUUUACUCCCGGCGAAUGGGCCCCAAAGAAAAUAUGACCGGACCAGGUGUCCCGGCGCGAUCCGCAAAGCCGCUCCUGGCGACUCUCUUCUCAGGCGAGUCCGAACCGGGCGGGAGGAGCGGGCAGACUAUCAGAAAAGUUAUUUCGAGAUUCAGCCAAAUGUUCUGACUGGGGGACCGAAAACGGGACGAGGCGUUUCCUGCGGUAACGCUCUGGCCCGCAGCGGGGCCCAGCGCCGAGCGCGCCGCAGUCGCGCGCUCCCCGCCCAGGGCUGUUCGGAAAGGACGCUCACCUCCUCCCUGUAAGAAGCGAGCCCGAGGUCGGCCAGCCGGGGCUGCCCGGGUUCUACGCGGGGCCUGAACUUCAGCCUUCCUCUGGAGGAACGCGCCUCUAGUUUUGCUCUGGAAGGAGAAAUGGGUGCAGUUCUUCCAGAGCUCUCAAGAUUCCAGUCGCCGGACAACCCUGGAAACUCUGGGAAGUUCUAAACUGAGUUUCCCUUGUUCCCUGAGUCCCUUUCCAUCUUCCCUACCAGGCAGGGGCUAAAGGGCUGCUGACCGAGACGGUGCCUUUUCAGAUGAGUUUUUCCUCGUGGACUGGAGAAGCGCCGCCGCCCGCUCCGAAGGCGACUUGCCGACCUCAGCGCCCUGGGCUCGCGCGGCGCACCGCCCGCCCCUCGGCGCCCGCCCAGCCCCGCUCGCGGAGAGAGCCCGAGGGGGAGUAUCUUCUCCGCGGGCCAGAGCUCGGUGCCAGGGCGCUCUCCUGACAUAACCCUGCUCAGGGGGGCAAGACGUGCACGAACCACGGCUUGGCUCUCCAGCUGCCGGUCCCGUCCCCACUACUGCCGGCAACUGCCUUGGACCUAGCCCCCAAGAGCAACAACUCUCGCCUCCUCACACCUCCCCUUGGUCCCCGCUUUCCCAGCCUUUUCCGGGAUCCCACACCCCCACCGCGCUUCUCCCGCCCGUCGGGGCCGAACCCUGGCUCCGCUCCUCACCCGCAUUCGGCAGCGCCAUUUUAACCCCUUAGACGCUUCCGCUGCUGGGGCGGGGGGAGAGGAGAUCCUUCCUCCCACCUCACCCCACCCCACCCCGCCCCACCCAGCCCGGGUCCUCGCCCAAAGCAGCCUGGAGGGGGAUUAUGAAACCACCCGGAGGUGGGCGGGAGUGGGGAACAGGCUACCUCCGGACUCUCGAAACUUUGGCAAAGUCUCGGGAACACUUGUGUUCCCCCAGGACAGUUUUCUACGCCUCGCGGCGGGCGCGGGGUAUCCGAGUUUCUUGGCACUAACUGCGAAGAUCCUCUCCCUUUCUCCAGCCCCUUUAAGGACAUCUGAUCUUCAGUCUCCAGCUUUCUCCUCUGGUCUAAAAGCUUCGUCAGCCGCGGAGAGCGACCCCAGGCGAGACCGGGAAGGGAGAGCGCUGGUGUGAGGUUAACCCAAACCAGGGCGCCCGGAGGUUGGCUGAGGCCCUGCGGGUCGAGGCCCGCGCGCUCUUUGCAGGAGGGAGCCCCCGGGGAUCCGCGCGGGACAUGUUGCCGCGCCUGAAACAGGCGUUCCCUUUUCCAGAUCAUAUUCCCCAUAAAAUCUAAAGCCAGAUGCAUCGCUUGGGCAAGUUCCCAUUUCACCGCGAAAAGCACAGAUUUGUUUCCAAACUGGACUCUAAAUCGAGGUUUCUGGUGCGGGUUCCAGCAGCCUGCGCAAGGUUGGGCUUUCGAUGGCUUAAGGGACUGCCCGAGCGGGUAAUGUUUUCGAUAAUCCGGUCUGAACCUAGCCCAGGCAAAGCAUCAUUUGCGAAUGCGGAAUUAAAAAAAAAAAAAAGUAGGAUGCGAAAUAAAGAUAACUAUGGGCUU
RNAcentral lists this long non-coding RNA (2022 nucleotides) under Sus scrofa (pig). RNAcentral's name for it is "lncRNA (multiple genes)". The record is from RNAcentral. Lineage: Eukaryota; Metazoa; Chordata; Mammalia; Artiodactyla; Suidae.